This 497-nucleotide ribosomal RNA is filed under the name uncultured bacterium. RNAcentral describes it as "partial 16S ribosomal RNA". It matches the Rfam family "Bacterial small subunit ribosomal RNA", at positions 28 to 507 of the family's 1533-position model. The record is from RNAcentral.
GACGAACGCUGGCGGCGUGCCUAAUACAUGCAAGUAGAACGCUGAAGAGAGGAGCUUACUCUUCUUGGAUGAGUUGCGAACGGGUGAGUAACGCGUAGGUAACCUGCCUUGUAGCGGGGGAUAACUAUUGGAAACGAUAGCUAAUACCGCAUAACAAUGGAUGACACAUGUCAUUUAUUUGAAAGGGGCAAUUGCUCCACUACAAGAUGGACCUGCGUUGUAUUAGCUAGUAGGCGAGGUAAUGGCUCACCUAGGCGACGAUACAUAGCCGACCUGAGAGGGUGAUCGGCCACGCUGGGACUGAGACACGGCCCAGACUCCUACGGGAGGCAGCAGUAGGGAAUCUUCGGCAAUGGGGGCAACCCUGACCGAGCAACGCCGCGUGAGUGAAGAAGGUUUUCGGAUCGUAAAGCUCUGUUGUAAGUCAAGAACGGGUGUGAGAGUGGAAAGUUCACACUGUGACGGUAGCUUACCAGAAAGGGACGGCUAACUACGUG